GCUACUCUGGAAAGUCCAGCCAUCAGACAAAAAGAGCUGUCCUGGGAUGACCAGCCAUCAGAUAGAUAAAACAGCCCUGGAAGACAAGCCAGCUGCUUGUCCUAAUCACUCUUCUUGUUAGUCAAGAGAAUGAUGUUAUGAAGACAAUAUGGGAAGUAAGACAUCCUCAGACACUUACCAAGAAUGAAAGAAGAUAAAGACAGCCCUGGAAAGAUUCACACUCCAGGAUGCUGAGACUCUGGGACCAUCCAUUCCAGCGUCACACUUGAUUCUACUUCAACUACAUCGAAGCUGCUUCUUUUAAAGACUUGCUUCUAGAACUUUUCCAGAACAGCUAGCUUACCUACCCAGCCUUCUAGACUGUCAUAGUCAAGAUGUCAGCUAAGCAAUGAAGUUUCUCAGCACACAGUGACUGGAAAGCAAAUGAUGCCAGCAAGCUCUCCUUUGACAAAGCCAACUUUCCAGUUUCCUUUUGGGACCCAAGAUGGGAAUCCUUUGCCCCAAUUCAGCUGAAAGCAGACAAAAGAAGAUCAUUGUCCUAGUUCCUUAUGUUGGGGUGGAUGGCUGUGGUUACUUUAGGAAUUAUAGAUUCAUUGUCAUUUAAGGGAUACUUUACAAAUGUAGCUUUGGACAGGGAGGGAACUAGAGAGAGUUGACCCAUAUCCUUGUCUGCUGUGGCUUUGGAUGGGCCAGCAGGAUCAGGAAAGGAGAGCUUGCCCCCUGACCUGAAAGUAGGAAAGCUAGUGGUCUAAUUAAUUUAAAUAACUCUCAGGUCCUGAUCCAGGGCUUUGAAUUGGCCUACCCCAAUAUCUACCCAUCAAUGAACCACAGGAGUUCAUGAAAAUUUCAUCCAACCGGUCCAAAAUGACAGCAUCGUCAUGACACAUGGCAAUAACAGGAUAUCAGAAAGGAUGCCCAGUGAGGUUCCAGUAUUGCUAAGGUAGCAGAAGUCAGAGUUCAUGAGCUAGAAUAAUGAGUCAUUACAAUGAAUAUUUGCAAGCAAAAAAAUGUGGACAAAAUGUUUUCUGUGGGAUAAACUACAGCUUCCGCCAUGAGAUUAUUUUUCUUUCUCCUUUGGGGAG
RNAcentral lists this long non-coding RNA (1082 nucleotides) under Mus musculus (house mouse). RNAcentral describes it as "predicted gene, 47002". Lineage: Eukaryota; Metazoa; Chordata; Mammalia; Rodentia; Muridae. The record is from RNAcentral.